Molecule: ribosomal RNA, 498 nt
Filed under: uncultured bacterium
Lineage: Bacteria
Description: partial 16S ribosomal RNA
Rfam family: Bacterial small subunit ribosomal RNA
Source: RNAcentral
AUUGAACGCUGGCGGCAUGCCUUACACAUGCGAGUCGAACGGUAACAGGUCUUCGGAUGCUGACGAGUGGCGAACGGGUGAGUAAUACAUCGGAACGUGCCUAGUAGUGGGGGAUAACUACUCGAAAGAGUGGCUAAUACCGCAUGAGAUCUACGGAUGAAAGCAGGGGAUCGCAAGACCUUGUGCUACUAGAGCGGCCGAUGGCAGAUUAGGUAGUUGGUGGGAUAAAAGCUUACCAAGCCGACGAUCUGUAGCUGGUCUGAGAGGACGAUCAGCCACACUGGGACUGAGACACGGCCCAGACUCCUACGGGAGGCAGCAGUGGGGAAUUUCGGACAAUGGGCGAAAGCCUGAUCCAGCAAUGCCGCGUGCAGGAUGAAGGCCUUCGGGUUGUAAACUGCUUUUGUACGGAACGAAAAGCCCCGGGUUAAUACCCUGGGGUCAUGACGGUACCGUAAGAAUAAGCACCGGCUAACUACGUGCCAGCAGCCGCGGUAA